RNAcentral lists this ribosomal RNA (218 nucleotides) under uncultured fungus. RNAcentral describes it as "partial small subunit ribosomal RNA". It matches the Rfam family "Eukaryotic small subunit ribosomal RNA", at positions 663 to 864 of the family's 1831-position model. The record is from RNAcentral. Lineage: Eukaryota; Fungi.
GAACAUGGAAAUCGGUCCGUUCUUAAUUGAAUGUGUACUUGAUUUCUUCGUUCAUCCUCGAAGAAAACAUAUCUGACAUUCAGUUGCCGGAUAUGGGAUCUUCGUCAUUUACUGUGAGCAAAAUAGAGUGUUCAAAGCAGGCUUAGGCCGUUGAAUACAUUAGCAUGGAAUAAUAAGAUAAGACCUUGGUCUAUUUUGUUGGUUUGCAUUCCAAGGUA